This 253-nucleotide ribosomal RNA is filed under the name uncultured bacterium. RNAcentral's name for it is "partial 16S ribosomal RNA". It matches the Rfam family "Bacterial small subunit ribosomal RNA", at positions 524 to 776 of the family's 1533-position model. The record is from RNAcentral.
CACGUAGGGCGCAAGCGUUGUCCGGAAUUAUUGGGCGUAAAGAGCUCGUAGGCGGUCUGUUGCGUCCGCUGUGAAAACUCGGGGCUUAACCCCGAGCCUGCAGUGGAUACGGGCAGACUAGAGGUAGGUAGGGGAGAAUGGAAUUCCCGGUGUAGCGGUGAAAUGCGCAGAUAUCGGGAGGAACACCGGUGGCGAAGGCGGUUCUCUGGGCCUUACCUGACGCUGAGGCGCGAAGGCGUGGGGAGCGAACGGG